This 1199-nucleotide long non-coding RNA is filed under the name Homo sapiens (human). RNAcentral describes it as "HSALNT0405280". Lineage: Eukaryota; Metazoa; Chordata; Mammalia; Primates; Hominidae. The record is from RNAcentral.
UUCAUAAUCUUCCUGAAAACGAGGUGUGGUUAUUGCCAUCUGAAAGAUAAGUAUCUGAUUUUUUAUGGGGGGUCCCAACCCAGCCAAGGUCACUCAGUCAGGAAGCGGUGGGAUUUGGCAGAUUCAAGGGCAGCCCUGACUACAGAGCCAGAACCCAUUUCACCUUCACAGCCUACUUCCCAGAAAUUUGGUGGCUGCCUCUGUGCUAUGAUUUGGUUGCUACCUGCUGAAGCUUCAACCUCUCAUCACUACCAGAAGGACCACAUCACUAAAAGUCCAUCAAUGGGGUUACUCACUUUGAUGGGCCUGUGCAGCGUCAUUCAGGAAGCCCGUGGUACUCACAUCACUCUGGCCAGACGCUAACAAGAAAAUGAUCCACUGUGACGCAGCCGACCCCAUCCAGUGCAUCCACAUUACCUGGAAAGAAGCAAUUAUGCCCCUUUGGUUUCCUUGGAAAUGCUUGGUCUGUCUCUACCAUCCGCCCUGGCUCUUGAGAAAUACUCAUGCACGGUAGAGCUUUGACAGGGAGACAGUGUGUUUAUUUUCCAACUGAAAGUUUACAGAAUACAAAGUGAGCCUGUAAGAUGGUGGCCACUCUCCAGAGGCUUGUUGGUCAGACAGGAAAGAAAACCAGUGCACCAUCGGGAACGUGGAGGAGGCUGAAAGAGAGGGACAAACAUAUUGGAUUGGAUUGGGCCCCCACAGUCAAGUUCCUGCAAACCAAGCUGGGAGAUUUUCCUGACUAAGGGUUAUGUUCUUGGGCCUCAAAGCUCCCCAGCCAACGCCCAGCUUCUGUGCCGAGGAGGAUACAGGAGGACAGACACAGCCUCUGUGUCAGGAGGAGGGAAGAAGGACUAAUGUCUGUGGACACUCUGAGGCUCACAGGGAGAAGCCACACACUCGCAGCACCAGAUGAGUAAACAGAGGCUUGGAGGGGUGAUGAAAUUUGCCAACAGUCAUCAAUCGUUCCAGGAACAGGUGAUGCUUCCCGGCAGUGAGACUCGAAACCAGCGGGAGUUCCCAGCCAGAGACAUGAUCUAAGUGCCAAUGGCUGAAUGUCUGUGAGCAUUUCAAGUCAUUUUAAGAAUAGGCAACAUUAGCGGCACCAUUAAAGCCUGCUGUUCCUCCAGCCCAUCACUGCCAUCCCCACCUAUUAAAAUAAUGGCAUGAAAAAUAAACAGCCUUUAUGUACAAUUUUA